UGUUUGUGCGCUUACGGCGUGGAUUCGGUGUGACACAAUUACAACUUUCUGCUUUGAAGUUUUUCUCUUUUUUUUCUAAUAUUAUUUCAAUGCUGUUUUAAUUUUACCUCUCCCAAAAGAAGGACUCCAGUAGGUGCAUGUUAGAGAGGAAGCAAGAGCUUGAAGGAUGUGAAAAAAUAAAAAGUCCACGGCAAUAAUAAAGAAAAGCAAAAAUAAAUUGCAAACAUUUUUUUUCAUCUCUGUCUAUAAGCCCAUGAAAUCCUGUGGAGUAUCAUUCGGUGAUGAGGAAAAGAAAAUGGCGGCGGGAAAACCGAGUGAAAUUGAGGAUGACUUUCCAACUCUGACGCCCCAGGAGAAAGACUCUAUUGCAACUCUCGAUAGCCGAGUGUUUGGAUUUCUGAAGGUUCAUGAAGAUGGCGCCAGAACGAAGGCCUUGUUAAAAAAGGCUAUUCACUGCUUUGAAUCAGUGAUCAAGAAGUGUGAGGGAAAAGUUGACCAUGACUUGUUUUGCCAGCUUGGUCAUUUCAACCUCUUGUUGGAGGAGUAUCCAAAAGCAUUAUCUGCAUACCAGAGGUACUACAGCGUACAGUCUGAUUACUGGAAGAAUGCUGCCUUUUUAUAUGGCCUUGGUCUUGUCUACUUCCAUUAUAAUGCAUUUCAGUGGGCAAUUAAAGCAUUUCAAGAAGUGCUUUAUAUUGAUCCCAGCUUCUCUCGGGCCAAUGAGAUUCACUUGCGUCUUGGGUUGAUGUUUAAGGUGAACACGGACUAUGAAUCAAGUCUUAAACAUUUUCAGUUGGCAUUGAUUGAUUCCAAUCCUUGCACUCUGUCCAAAGCAGAAAUUCAGUUCCAUGUUGCUCACUUGUAUGAAAUCCAGAGAAAGUAUCGUGCUGCAAAGGAAGCCUAUGAACAACUUUUGCAAACAGAGAAUCUUUCUGCACAAGUGAAAGCAAAUAUACUGCAGCAGCUCGGCUGGAUGCAUCACACAGUGGAGCCACUAGGAGACAAAACAACUAAGGAAAGUCUUGCUAUUCAAUGUCUCCAGAAAUCUCUAGAGGCAGACCCUAACUCUGGCCAGUCUUGGUACUUCCUUGGCAGGUGCUAUUCAAGCAUUGGCAAAGUUCAGGAUGCCUUCUUAUCAUACAGGCAUUCCAUUGAUAAAUCAGAAGCGAGCGCUGAUACAUGGUGUUCAAUAGGGGUGUUGUAUCAGCAACAGAACCAGCCAAUGGAUGCUUUACAGGCCUAUAUCUGUGCUGUUCAGCUAGACCAUGGACAUGCUGCAGCCUGGAUGGACCUGGGAACACUCUAUGAAUCCUGCAAUCAACCUCAGGAUGCAAUUAAAUGUUACAUAAAUGCAACCAGGAGCAAAAAUUGUAGUAAUAGUUCUGCACUCACAGCAAGGAUAAAGUACUUGCAGGCCCAGUUGUGCAACCUUCCACAAGGUAGCCUACAAAGUAAAACCAAAAUGCUUCCCAGUAUUGAGGAGGCAUGGAGCCUACCAAUCCCAGCAGAACUUACCUCCAGGCAGGGUGCCAUGAAUUCAGCUCAGCAGGCUUGUAAACUUCACCAUCACAGUAAUGAACCAUUAGUAGGCCUCAGUCAGCAGCCACAGCAGUCCUUACCACUACACAUGGUUCCUUCUAACCAAGUAGAUGAUCUAUCCAGUUCUGCUAAAAGGAAAAGGAUGUCCAGUCCUACUAAGCUAAAUGCUCCUGAUGUCUGGUCAGGUGGUCACACACCACACCAUCCAGUGCAACAACAGGUUCCAUCAUGGUACCUGACGUCUCAAAAAUUACAGUUUUUGGAACAGUUGCGUGCAAAUAGAAAGAACCUGAAUCAGCUUCAGCUUCAAAUGCUGGAACAGCUUGAGGGACAGUUUGCCUUGAUGCGACAGCACCAGCAGCAGAUGAGACAGGCAACAGUUGCACAGGUACGGCCUACAGGAAUUCCUAAUGGGCCAACGCUUGGAUCAUCACUGCCUACAAACUCUAUUUCUGGUCAGCAGCCUCAUGUCACUCUAACCAGAGUGCCUGAUCGUGGUGUUCAGUCUGGAAUCCGUCCUGUUCCUUCUGGACCGCUAAUGGCUAAUGGACCUUUUCCUGCUGAACCAUCUCGAGGUCCAGUAACAUGCAGCACUAUGGGAAUGCUGGGUAAUACAGACACUAUCUCUAUAGGCAAUAAUCAUGUAACAGGAAAUGGAAGCAAUGGAAAUGUGCCUUACCUGCAGCAAAACGCACUAACUCUACCUCAUAACCGCACAAACCUGACCAGCAGCGCAGAGGAGCCGUGGAAAAACCAACUUGUUAACUCCACUCAGGGGCUGAACAAAGGUCAGAGUUCACAUUCGGCAGGCCCUAAUGGUGAACGACCUCUCUCUUCCACUGGGCAUUCCCAGCAUUUCCAGGCAGCUGGCACUGGUAUUCAGAAUCAGGUUGGACAUCCUGCCAUGCCUAACAAUUCACUAACAACACAGGGGGCUGCUCUCAAUCACCUCUCCUCUUACACUGCUACCUCAGGUGGACAACAAGGCAUUACCUUAACCAAAGAGAGCAAGCCUUCAGAAACUGCAUCAACAGUGCCUGAGACGACCAGGCAUUCUGGAGGGACACCAAACAGCACUGCCAGCAUAGAGGGACUUCCUAAUCAUGUCCAUCAAGCUAUAGCAAAUGCUGUUUCAAGUUCAAGUCGUGGAGAGUCCAAGUCACCAGGUGUAAUUAGUUCAGACAAUCCUCAGCUCUCUGCCUUGUUGAUGGGAAAACCUAGUAAUAAUGGGGGUUCUGUGUCUUGUGAUAAAAUUAACAAUAUCCAUCCAGCUGUUCACUCAAAGACCGAGAAUUCAGUUGCCUCUUCACCAUCUUCAGCUGUUUCUACUGCAACUCCAUCUCCUAAAUCCACUGAACAAACUACUGCUAACAGUGUUACCAGCCUUAACAGCCCUCAGAGUGGACUGGGACAUACGGUCAAUGGAAAAGGUGUAGGGGAGGACUCUCAAAGUCCCUGUAAAAUGGACCCACCAUUAACUGCUCACAAACCUAGUCUUCAAGUUGCAUCUUCAGCCUCUGUCUCUAUAUACCCCAGUUCGUCAGAAGUGCUAAAGGCAUGCAGAAAUCUGGGGAGAAAUGGUUUAUCUAAUAGUAGCAUUUUACUCGAUAAGUGUCCACCUCCUCGACCACUACCACCACCAUAUCCACCGCUGCCAAAGGACAAGCUAAACCCUCCUACGCCUAGUAUUUACUUGGAGAACAAGCGUGAUGCUUUCUUUCCUCCACUUCAUCAAUUCUGUACAAACCCUAACAACCCUGUUACUGUAAUCCGUGGCCUUGCUGGGGCGCUCAAGCUAGAUUUAGGUCUUUUUUCCACCAAAACUUUGGUAGAAGCAAAUAGUGAACAUUUAGUAGAAGUGCGGACACAAUUGUUGCAGCCAGCAGAUGAAAACUGGGACUCCACUGGAACCAAGAAGAUCUGGCGCUGUGAGAGUAGUCGAUCUCACACCACAAUUGCCAAAUAUGCACAAUAUCAGGCCUCCUCAUUCCAGGAAUCAUUGCGGGAGGAAAACGAGAAAAAGAGCAGUCAUCACAAAGACCAGUCAGAUAAUGAAUCCACAUCCUCUGAUAAUGGUAGCAAAAAAAGGAGAGGUCCUUUCAAGGCCAUAAAAUUUGGGACCAACAUUGAUUUGUCAGAUGAGAAAAAGUGGAAAUCGCAGCUCCAUGAACUAACAAAAUUGCCUGCUUUUGUGCGUGUGGUAUCGGCAGGGAACCUGUUGAGCCAUGUAGGGCACACCAUUCUUGGAAUGAACACAGUCCAAUUGUACAUGAAAGUUCCAGGAAGCAGGACUCCAGGUCAUCAAGAAAACAACAAUUUCUGCUCUGUUAAUAUUAAUAUAGGUCCUGGAGAUUGUGAAUGGUUUGCUGUACCUGAAUCAUACUGGGCAGUUAUGAAUGACUUCUGUGAAAAGAACAACAUUAAUUUUUUGAUGGGCUCAUGGUGGCCAAACCUAGAGGACCUUUACGAGGCCAAUGUGCCAGUGUAUCGAUUUAUUCAGCGCCCUGGAGAUUUGGUAUGGAUAAAUGCUGGUACAGUGCAUUGGGUUCAAGCCAUUGGGUGGUGCAACAACAUUGCUUGGAAUGUCGGUCCUCUGACAGCAAAUCAAUAUAAACUAGCAGUGGAACGAUAUGAAUGGAAUAAACUACAGAGCGUGAAGUCUAUUGUUCCCAUGAUCCAUCUAUCCUGGAACAUGGCACGUAACAUCAAGGUGUCUGAUCCCAAGCUUUUUGAAAUGAUCAAAUACUGCUUGCUGAGAACCCUCAAGCAAUGUCAGAUGUUAAGAGAAACUCUCAUUAGCACAGGCAAAGAGAUUGUAUGGCAUGGCCGCACAAAGGAGGAGCCUGCACACUACUGCAGUAUUUGUGAGGUGGAAGUUUUUGAUCUGCUUUUUGUCACAAAUGAGAGUAACUCAAGGAAAACCUAUGUGGUGCAUUGCCAGGACUGUGCUCGUAAGGCCAAUGGAAAUCUUGACAAUUUUGUAGUGCUGGAACAGUACAAAAUGGAGGACCUGAUGCAAAUCUAUGACCAGUUCACAUUAGCUGAAUAAAUGGUUCUGACUGAACUAUGUAAAUCAGAGAGCAACCAGAUCCAAACUGCAAACUAAGUUAAUUGGUCUCAUUGAAAAUGGAUAGACAAGAAAAAAAAUCAACUGAUAUUCUUGCUUCUGAUCUCUGUACAAUAAUCUUUGACAUCACUGUUAAGGCGGAGAAAAAAGUGCUUGAUCAAGGCCCCUCCACUGCCUUCAUCCUCAUCUUGACACUUAUUGUUUUAUGGACAACUAGUGAAACAUCUUUGGUGUUCAGGAUGUGACGUCAACUUCCACUGUGUUACACCACUGAUAUUUGGCUAUCCCAUGUGGCUGCUGACUGAAAACUGUGUGUCUAUGCAACCUUCCAAGUGCGGAGUGUCAACAAUACUGGAUAGGAGUGGAGUUGCUUCUUUUCCAGGAUAAAUGGAUUAAUGUAAAGCUGUUUUAGCUGUACCUAUAAAUAACUUUUCAUAUUUUGUAUAUAUCAGAGAAAAACUGGCAACAUCACACAGACUACUGACUUGAAGACAUUCUUUUUUUUGUAUUACUCUGUCUUGGGCUGAUGAAUUGGUUUCAUCAUCUUUUUUCAUUCAGAUUUUUCCCUUUAAAAGUACUAGCUUAGCUGGUCAUUUUUGUAUGGUAGUUAGGAAUUUUAUGUCUCUCUUGAGGGCAACAUCUAUUAAGAAAAUUUUGUAAUGUGAAAAGUUAGGUGAGAGAGAAUUUUUUUUACCGCUUUUAUGUUCAUCUGUUUUGUUAUUUUGAAACCACGAUGUUUAAAUUUGUUCUGGUUUCCUAGUUAAACUAAACAGCCAAGUCACAGAUAAAUGGGUUGCACAUAGACUAAGGAAUAAACUUCAGAUUUGUGAUUUUUUUUUGUUUUGUUUCUAAUCUUGAUGUAAAUUUACACUAUUUAUAAAUGCAUAUUUAUUCCUUGAAAAUAUUUGUGGAUGGAAUGCUGUUAUUUUUCCCAGAAUACCUGCCAUUAAAAUUUUACGGAGUUCUGUCAUUUCAAACACUACUCCUAAUACGUUUUCUAUGUAU
Molecule: RNA transcript, 5611 nt
Organism: Hemiscyllium ocellatum (epaulette shark)
Lineage: Eukaryota; Metazoa; Chordata; Chondrichthyes; Orectolobiformes; Hemiscylliidae
Gene: kdm6a
Gene name: lysine (K)-specific demethylase 6A
Exons: 31
Source: RefSeq, a predicted model, not a curated record